Molecule: ribosomal RNA, 266 nt
Filed under: uncultured bacterium
Lineage: Bacteria
Description: partial 16S ribosomal RNA
Rfam family: Bacterial small subunit ribosomal RNA
Source: RNAcentral
GUCCACGCCGUAAACGAUGAAUACUAGGUGUGGGGGGACUGACCCCCUCCGUGCCGCAGUUAACACAAUAAGUAUUCCACCUGGGGAGUACGGCCGCAAGGUUGAAACUCAAAGGAAUUGACGGGGGCCCGCACAAGCAGUGGAUUAUGUGGUUUAAUUCGAAGCAACGCGAAGAACCUUACCAGGGCUUGACAUCCAACUAACGAAGUAGAGAUACAUUAGGUGCCCUUCGGGGAAAGUUGAGACAGGUGGUGCAUGGUUGUCGU